CAGAAGCUGACAAUGACCGAUAGGCUUUUUCAGUGGAUACCAGAAUGUCCUUUCCCACAGCCUGGAGGGAAGGCGGAAUAACUGCUUGGCAACGAAAGGCCAAACAGAAACCUGGAGAAGAUGUGAAGAUGGCAGUAGUCAGGAGGAGGAGCACUGGCCUGAGAACUCAACAUAGGAGGCAGAACCCCACUUCCUGUUCUAGCAGGAGGGAACCUUGUCCCCACCGUCCUCAGACAUCCCCUUGGUACUGGGUUUGUUCUUCGGGCCUGCUAUAGAGGGGCACCCCGACUGUAACCCAGCAUCCCCAGUGAUCAGAACCACUGACUCCUGCCUCCCAUGUCCCACCCCACCCCCACCCCACCAUGGGAGGCCCCUACAGAAGCAAAACAUAGUCACCUUAGACUCUGGCAUACUGAGACCCUGUUCCUAUCUCACCUGGCUGCCAGUUUAUUAUUUAAUAAAAACAAUUGUUAAAUAA
Phyllostomus discolor (pale spear-nosed bat) is the source of this 478-nucleotide long non-coding RNA. RefSeq lists it as uncharacterized. The record is from RefSeq and is a predicted model, not a curated record. The transcript is spliced from 2 exons. NCBI's taxonomy places the organism in Eukaryota, Metazoa, Chordata, Mammalia, Chiroptera, Phyllostomidae.